This 352-nucleotide unclassified non-coding RNA is filed under the name uncultured bacterium. Its description in RNAcentral is "contains 16S-23S intergenic spacer region". The record is from RNAcentral.
GAAUCCGAGAAUUUCACCUCCAACACCGUAAUACGAAUGCCCCCGUCAGUCCCUCUUAAUCAUUACCUCGAGCUCCGAAAACCAACAAAAUAGAACCGAGGUCCUCUUCCAUUAUUCCAUGCACUAAUAUUCAGGCUGUGUAGCCUGCUUUGAACACUCUAAUUUUUUCAAAGUAAACGUCCCGGCCACCACAGACACUCAAUCAAGAGCAUCUGCGGGCGAACCGGCAGGUAGGUCAGGACAGGCAGUAGUCGCCGCGAGGCGAACCGCCGGCCUGAGACCAGAGAUCCAACUACGAGCUUUUUAACUGCAACAACUUUAAUAUACGCUAUUGGAGCUGGAAUUACCGCUC